UACAGAGGUCUCAAGCUUUGUUCGGAUUCAUUGGGCGUAAAGGGUGCGUAUGUGGCGCUGUAAGUCGGGUGUGAAAUUUCGGAGCUUAACUCCGAAACUGCAUUCGAUACUGCGGUGCUUGAGGACUGGAGAGGAGACUGGAAUUCAUGGUGUAGCAGUGAAAUGCGUAGAGAUCAUGAGGAAGACCAGUGGCGAAGGCGGGUCUCUGGACAGUUCCUGACACUGAGGCACGAAGGCCAGGGGAGCAAACGGG
This 253-nucleotide ribosomal RNA is filed under the name uncultured bacterium. Its description in RNAcentral is "partial 16S ribosomal RNA". It matches the Rfam family "Bacterial small subunit ribosomal RNA", at positions 524 to 776 of the family's 1533-position model. The record is from RNAcentral.